This 841-nucleotide long non-coding RNA is filed under the name Scophthalmus maximus (turbot). Its description in RNAcentral is "lncRNA (ENSSMAG00000022220.1)". Lineage: Eukaryota; Metazoa; Chordata; Actinopteri; Pleuronectiformes; Scophthalmidae. The record is from RNAcentral.
GAAACUGAGAAUUGCACCGAAACAGCACUAGUUAUCGAGGGAACCAUGUGUGGUAUGGGGUACUGAAAUCCAACUUCUUCUUUUGGUGUUUUUGGAACAGCAAAUGCUGUUCUGCCUCUGUCUUUAACCAUAUCAGAACAACUAAUAAACAGUAACGACUAGCAUUUUCUAAUGAAAGCCACAUUGCAAUAACAAAAGAACUAGAGGGUAGUUCAUAUAUUUGUUCAUUUCAUUAUCCAACGGUUCCUUUCCUUAUGUGGUGGGCCAUCGUUUAACACUCAAUCAUCUUUGAUCUUCUCUUCACUGUUCUCCUGAUUGACACGACAAUGCUCCUUUCAGUCCACUCUGUGUCGUUAAGCUGUGCAGUUAGCCCGUUGUGAGAGAGGCUGAGUGAGGUCCUUUGGAUGAACACGCACUUUUUCUGAGAAAAUGAUGUUUAGCGCUGACAUCCGAGAGCCUGUGACCAUACCAACAAUGGAAUGUGUGUGACAAAAGCCACUGGGGGAGUGCAACGGAGAAAUGGGCCAGGGUGUGUAAAACUAUCUGCAUCUAUCCCCGGUCGGAAAAAGAGUCUGGCCAUCGGUAGCCUGAGCCAGCUGGUGUCGCUGCAGUCUCCUGCCAUGCUCCUGGUUGUACAGGAGAAGCGGGGCCUGGAUGGCCAGUAUGGCUUUGCAUGUCGCUGCAGAGAGGGCAGCGGACUUGUGGUGGUCAAGGUUGACAACACUCACCUCUGUGUAGAGGACAGGUAAAAAAACAUUUUUUUAAAACGCAUGCAAAAUAACCUCAAGCCAUGUAAUUUAUCCGGACAUAAUGACAAACCUUUUUCAGUGUUAACAGAGGC